CCCUGCUUCAGCUCCGCAUCUACUACUACUAUAAAAGAAAGAGAGGAGCAGAUCCAAACAAUCACAUCGAUCCAUCAUCAAAAUCUAAUGGCUCUUAAUCAUUAUGUGUUUAACGCUGCCAACCACGCAAUAAGGCGCUAACAGUCCAUCUAUCGCUAACCCUACCCCGCAGUCAAAAGAAUAAAAGAAAAAACCGCUGCCCGCACGACCUCUCACCCCCUGCUCCUCGACCUCUCGCUCCCUGCUCCUCCUACCGCACCGUUCGCCGCCCCACAACCGCUCGCCGCUUCGCCGCCUUCCGCAGCCGCGCCCCUUCGCCGUCGCCCACCUACUGCCCUUCUCUCCCUGCACUUUUCCACCCUCACGCAGCCGCCGCCAGCGCCUUGUGCCCCAACGCCGCUAUCGCCAUCACCUCCUCCCCAUGGUCCGCGAGCUAGACGCGCUGCCGGGAAGAAUCCACCAUCUACGGCCUUGCGGCGCUCGCCGGGGACACCGCCGCCGCCGCCUCUAUCCUUUCCGGAUGCCUCUGUCUCCUCUCUACAGCGGCCUCCUCAUCUCUUCACGGCUGCUCCAGAGGUCGCCCCCUCGAGCAUCGCGUCCUCUUCUCCACCACCACCUCGCCGCCGCCUCCUCCCUUCGGUUCUCUCCUCGAAGCUCCAUCAAGUGGUCACUGCCGCCUGCUGCCUCUUCUCUCCUGCAGGACGACGCCUCCCCAUCCACCAUCUGCCGCCGCUGAACUGGGUGGCAGUUGCGGCCAUGGGGGAGCAGGGGUGGCAUGGUCUUCAUGGUCGUUAUGUACAAGAAGACGAGGACGGCAGUGGGGGGAACGAGCAGCGAGGCCGGAGCUUCACUAUGGAUUUGAGGAUGCAACUCGCUGGCCACCAUCACCGUCCGCAAUCUGGGCAAUGAUGUGAGACAGAAAAGAAGAGGAAGACGUUGGUGAAGGAGAGGGCAGCACAAAUGUACACCGCUGUGGCCAGGUUAUUUCAUACGACACAGCCACAGGUGAUGUACAUGAAUGACGGCAGAUGGUUGAGGAUUGAGGGAAUGUAGAUGCGACUAGCGAGCACUUACUCUGAGGUGCUUUCAGAUGAUGGUUUAAUAAGACUGUUUGGACAAAAUUCUGAUUUUUCAACACUUGUUUCAUGUGCGAAUAUUCUGGGAGCACCAACUCCAACUGCUGACAAGGUGAAGCUUAUGAUCAGUACAACUUUGUUUGACAUUUGGCUGGGCUAAAAAAAAUAUCAAUGGGAGCUUUGGACGGCCCGAUUGCAUUAGUGCCUGUGGUUGCGAACGUCCGCCGUCUGCCGCAGCUUCGUCAAUCGUCCUUCUCAGGUGUCAGCGAUCUUAGCCGUGAGGAGCGAGCGACACACCGUUCCCGUCGACGCCGUCGUCCGUCGGCAUCCGGUAUUGCUGUACGCUAUACCUGUACUGAUUGUGAUUGGCGUCCCAUCCGACACCAGAACGAGAACCCCUUCAAUUUAGAUGAGGUGCCUUAGGCAUGAUGAUGUGUUUUUGCAUGAUGAUGUAAUAAAUGCAUAUAUAUACUGUAUAAGUGCCCAGGAGCAUCUGCAAGAUAGAGUGGGUGGAAUGGUACAUAUUGCAAGCACGUUUGUGUCUUCCCUGCUAAAGAACGAUGAGGUAGACCGGGCAACACAUCGCCACAUUGUAAAACGAGUGAAUGCUUUUUUGGAGCAUGACAUGGUAUUCCUUCCAGUUAACAUCAGAAAAUGCCACUGGUAUCUAUCAGUAAUCAAUGCGAAGAAACAAGAGAUACAGGUACUGGACUCGCUUGGAGUUGGAAUGAGCCGAAGUGACCUCACUAAGAUGUUACAAGGACUUGACCAGCAUCUAAAAAUCGCAUGCAAUAUGCCAGAGUUUAAGAGAGGUGAUAGGUGGCAGGACCUCGAUAUUACGAAUUGGAAAGUCGUAGAACAGCUCCAAGAGCCAAUCCAAACAGACGGGAGGACAUGAAAGAAUUUCGACGAAAGAUAAUUUGAUUAAGCGCAACUGGACAUGAUCUACUAGGUGUAGUUUCUGUGAUCGGGAUGAAACUAUCAAGCAUCUUUUCUUUGAUUGCCCGAUGGCGAGGGUGUUGUGGCGCUCGGUGCAAAUUGCCUUUAACAUUACUCCUUCAAAUUUGGUCAGGUCGUUUUUUGGAACGUGGCUGGUUGGUAUAGAGGCCGAAACAGCUAGACAAAUUUGAGUGGGAGCAUGUGCGUUGUUAUGGGCAAUUUGGAACUGCAGAAAUGACUUGGCUUUUAACAGAACCAUUUU
RNA transcript from Triticum dicoccoides, 2277 nucleotides. It is a transcript of the gene named sentrin-specific protease 2-like, with no coding region annotated. The record is from RefSeq and is a predicted model, not a curated record. The transcript has 11 exons. Lineage: Eukaryota; Viridiplantae; Streptophyta; Magnoliopsida; Poales; Poaceae.